Long non-coding RNA from Scylla paramamosain (green mud crab), 992 nucleotides. RefSeq lists it as uncharacterized. NCBI's taxonomy places the organism in Eukaryota, Metazoa, Arthropoda, Malacostraca, Decapoda, Portunidae. The transcript has 3 exons. The record is from RefSeq and is a predicted model, not a curated record.
ACAAAUCAAUCACGUAAUUGAACGAAAAGAAACGAGUAAACCCAGAAAUGUUCGAGCGUCGAUCCGACUCAUUCCUACUGCAGGAGUCACGCAUCUGACAGUGGCAGUGGCAGACUCGGGCCCUGGCAGAAGCACGGCGUCUUCAUGGCACGUUCAUAUACCCUGGAUUAUUUGGUCAAAGGCCAGACAUGGUUCCUUGCGAUACUAAGCUCUUCCCAAAGCUCAAGGCAUCGCUGGAAAGGUUCAGAGACCCAAGGGGACGUGAUAACUGGCACCAUGUCGGGGUUGGUAGCGGUGUAUAAACUCACCUGAACACAUUCACAGCUUUGAAGGAUCGCUGGAUGAAGUUACGAAGGACCUACUUCCAUGCCGAUUAGAGGUGGAACUUUACAAUGAAGAGAACCAAGUGGGAUGGUCUGCCACUGAUGACAUCCACUAGGAAAUAGUAAAAAGCUGAAUGACAGAGUAUCGCAACAACCUGUGCUGCCUCCACUGCCGCUUGUGUGAUGACCUGCCCCCAUCUGUUGCGAGCGUCUUCCGAGUGGGCAGCCAAGUGGAGAGUCAUUCCCCCAAACUUGGCAACAGUGAAGGAGAAUGGCUUCCCCAUCUCAGCAAGGGAGUGGACACUGUAGUCCAGCAAGUGUACUGCACCCAGAGGAUGUUGUUCCUGCAUCAUAGACAAACUGUGCUUACUAAGGAAUCACUAAGCUGUUUCAGUAAGAUAAAAAGAUCAGAAGUAAAUGAAGGUAGGAGUAAUGGUAAAGGAAAGAAAAGUAAACUAGUUGUUUGAUAGGAAAGAUUUGAGAGAGGGUGUGUGAGGGACUGAUGGAAGCUAGGAUGAAAAUUGUAGAGGGAACAGAUUUUGAUGAUGUAUUUAGUCUGUUUUAAGGGAACAGUAAAAAUAGUUGAACAUGGAGUUGUUUAGCAUAAGCAAAAGGAAGCUAAAGAGGAUGAAAGGAGAGGUGUGAAGAGAUAGAGGAAAUGAAGGAAAA